RNAcentral lists this unclassified non-coding RNA (508 nucleotides) under Leishmania donovani. Its description in RNAcentral is "gene:unknown". Lineage: Eukaryota; Euglenozoa; Kinetoplastea; Trypanosomatida; Trypanosomatidae. The record is from RNAcentral.
ACGCGCCACCGCCACGCGCUCCACAGCAUUCUGGCCAUCACCAUCUUUGCGCCUCUUCUCUCUUCGCUGCCUGAGACAUCCACGGCGCCCUCUCGGCCAGCGGCUCUUUUCGCUUCAUCGCCUGCUCUCCUUCUCGCUGCCGUGGAAGGAGUUGCAUGUCGUAAGCUGAAUACCGGAGCAGGUGCACGCACGCAGACGCAGAGACAAGACGGCAACUGCACCUGCAGGUGGUUGUCGUUCACAGUUGCCGACACCAGCACUGUUGCUGUCGACAGCUGAUUCUCUUCUUAUUAUCUCUCUACCUCCCUCCCUUGAGCUUUUGGUUCUGUGGGGAGUUUUGCGCUAUACGCCAGCGGUGCUUGCGUAUGCAUGUGAGCGAGCAGCACCUCUCUCCCCCUCCCCUCCCCUCGUUCCCCCUUCUAUACACGCCUGCUAUCGUUUUUCUUUCAUUGCUUCGCGCUUGUGCUCCAUUCUCCCACUUCUCGUAUCUCUACUCUUCCACAUCUAG